This 436-nucleotide ribosomal RNA is filed under the name uncultured bacterium. Its description in RNAcentral is "bacterial SSU rRNA". It matches the Rfam family "Bacterial small subunit ribosomal RNA", at positions 355 to 786 of the family's 1533-position model. The record is from RNAcentral.
UGAGGAAUAUUGGUCAAUGGGCGGAAGCCUGAACCAGCCAAGUCGCGUGAGGGAAGACGGUCCUAUGGAUUGUAAACCUCUUUUGUCGGGGAGCAAAGGCGGUCACGUGUGACCGGAUGAGAGUACCCGAAGAAAAAGCAUCGGCUAACUCCGUGCCAGCAGCCGCGGUAAUACGGAGGAUGCGAGCGUUAUCCGGAUUUAUUGGGUUUAAAGGGUGCGCAGGCGGCACUGCAAGUCAGCGGUCAAAAUGCGGGGCUCAACCCCGUCGAGCCGUUGCAAACUGCAGGUCCUUGCAGUGCGCGAGAAGUAUGCGGAAUGCGUGGUGUAGCGGUGAAAUGCAUAGAUAUCACGCAGAACUCCGAUUGCGAAGGCAGCUUACCAAACUACAUCUGACGUUGAGGCACGAAAGCGUGGGGAGCAAACAGGAUUAGAUACC